UCGUAUUCCCUUGUUUUUCAAUUGAGACAUCUGAUUUUCACUUUCUCCCAAAAUUUGUUCAGCUUUUCACUCAUUUCUCUACAACAAUUGAUGCAUUCUAUCGCUCGAAAUUGGUCCAUGACGAUGGUUGGUCGAAGAGUUCAUCGUCUCUGUAUUUAAUUCAAGGAGAAACGAUAGGGUUGCAAACAUGAUAUGCAGGGAUGGGCGUAGUAACUUCAAAUUCAAAAAAAUCUACUCAAUUAUUUCUCUAAUUUUCAAUAGGUCUUUGCAUUUAAUUCAGGGAGAAAUGAUAGGGUUGCAAACAUGAUAUGCAGGGAUGGGUGUAGAAACAUCAAAUUCAAAAAAAUCUACUCAAUUAUUUCUUUAAUUUUCAUAGCUUCUCACUCUUUCCUCUACAACAAUUGAUGCAUUCUAUCGCUCAAAAUUGGUCCAUGAAGAAGGUAAAAACAAGUACCAAAUCAGUUUUAUAAAUUUAAGAACGAUUAGGGUUUGGGAGAAUAGGAGAACAGAAGAGGAAGACCAAGAAUUGUUCAAGAACGUUAAGAUCAUUGCAUGGAAUUCAUAGGGAGUGAUCCCUAUCGAGGUAACCAGGAAGCACGUAGAGCUUUGUUGAUCCAGAUUGAGCUCCAGAAUUAGUGGUGAGCCUCCAUGCAUUCUCAAGGACAUCCAUUUCAUUUGCUUUAGUACUUUAAUUUAAGGAUGUUGUGCGGUCUGUCCCAACAUCCCUCUUCAGUUAGUUUAGAGGCUUCGUAGACUAUUAGUAGUUUAGUUUGGAGUUAUUUUACUUGUUGAGACUCAAGUGCCAUUUUGGCCAGAUUAAUUUAUGAAGUAUUUGUUUUUAAAUAUAACUUUAUUCUUAUUUAAGUUGAUUUUAGUCUUCUUCUGAGUUAAGUAAGUCAGGCCAACGAUUUGCUUGGGG
Non-coding RNA from Solanum lycopersicum (tomato), 919 nucleotides. The record is from RefSeq and is a predicted model, not a curated record. NCBI's taxonomy places the organism in Eukaryota, Viridiplantae, Streptophyta, Magnoliopsida, Solanales, Solanaceae.